Molecule: ribosomal RNA, 492 nt
Filed under: uncultured bacterium
Lineage: Bacteria
Description: partial 16S ribosomal RNA
Rfam family: Bacterial small subunit ribosomal RNA
Source: RNAcentral
AGUGAACGCUGGCGGUAGGCCUAACACAUGCAAGUCGAACGGCAGCACAGUAAGAGCUUGCUCUUACGGGUGGCGAGUGGCGGACGGGUGAGGAAUACAUCGGAAUCUACUUUUUCGUGGGGGAUAACGUAGGGAAACUUACGCUAAUACCGCAUACGACCUACGGGUGAAAGCAGGGGAUCUUCGGACCUUGCGCGAUUCAAUGAGCCGAUGUCGGAUUAGCUAGUUGGCGGGGUAAAGGCCCACCAAGGCAACGAUCCGUAGCUGGUCUGAGAGGAUGAUCAGCCACACUGGAACUGAGACACGGUCCAGACUCCUACGGGAGGCAGCAGUGGGGAAUAUUGGACAAUGGGCGCAAGCCUGAUCCAGCCAUACCGCGUGGGUGAAGAAGGCCUUCGGGUUGUAAAGCCCUUUUGUUGGGAAAGAAAAGCAGCAUGUGAAUACCCCGCUGUUCUGACGGUACCCAAAGAAUAAGCACCGGCUAACUUCGUG